This 75-nucleotide transfer RNA is filed under the name Echinostoma caproni. It matches the Rfam family "tRNA". Rfam says of the family: Transfer RNA (tRNA) molecules are approximately 80 nucleotides in length. Their secondary structure includes four short double-helical elements and three loops (D, anti-codon, and T loops). Lineage: Eukaryota; Metazoa; Platyhelminthes; Trematoda; Plagiorchiida; Echinostomatidae. The record is from Rfam by way of RNAcentral.
CUCGUAGCUCAGCUGGUAGAGCAUGCGCGUACAAAGCGUAGGCGGUGUCCAUGCGUGGGUCCGAAUCCCACCGAG